RNAcentral lists this long non-coding RNA (200 nucleotides) under Lathyrus oleraceus (garden pea). RNAcentral describes it as "Pisum sativum (pea) long non-coding RNA (PSAT_LNC001172)". The record is from RNAcentral. Lineage: Eukaryota; Viridiplantae; Streptophyta; Magnoliopsida; Fabales; Fabaceae.
AAAAAAAUCAUCUUCAUGGUGACAAAACUAUCCAAGACAAGGCGUUGGGGAAUCCGAGCUUGAUACCCACAAAAUGCAUAAACUAAUAUAUUCAUGCAUUCACAUUCAUUUUGCAACUAUCCAAGACAAGGCGUUGGGGAAUCCGAGCUUGAUACCCACAAAAUGCAUAAACUAAUAUAUUCAUGCAUUCACAUUCAUUU